UACGGAGGGGACUAGCGUUGUUCGGAAAUACUGGGCGUAAAGCGCACGUAGGCGGCGCCGCAAGUCAGGGGUGAAAUCCCGGGGCUCAACCCCGGAACUGCCCUUGAAACUGCAGUGCUAGAAUCUUGGAGAGGUCAGUGGAAUUCCGAGUGUAGAGGUGAAAUUCGUAGAUAUUCGGAAGAACACCAGUGGCGAAGGCGACUGACUGGACAAGUAUUGACGCUGAGGUGCGAAAGCGUGGGGAGCAAACAGG
Molecule: ribosomal RNA, 253 nt
Filed under: uncultured bacterium
Lineage: Bacteria
Description: partial 16S ribosomal RNA
Rfam family: Bacterial small subunit ribosomal RNA
Source: RNAcentral